This is a long non-coding RNA of Lactuca sativa (garden lettuce), 862 nucleotides long. RefSeq lists it as uncharacterized. NCBI's taxonomy places the organism in Eukaryota, Viridiplantae, Streptophyta, Magnoliopsida, Asterales, Asteraceae. The record is from RefSeq and is a predicted model, not a curated record.
AGACAUCGCGAGCCAUAAAGGGAAGACAAAAUGCCUCAAAGGUCUAUACUUUUCAAAACUUAAUUUUCGUCAUUGGUGUCUUCGUCCCUGUGGAAAAGGAGUGAAGAUCAUUUUUUGCAUUUGUUGAUUAUUGAUUGCAAAACAUCAACGGUAUGUAAGCUACGAUCAAAAUGGAGGGUAAUGUCAACCGCUAAUGUGCCAUGGGGUAAAAUUUUACAACCAUAUGUUUGAUGAGUGUAAGGCAUUUGGUCAUCUAUUUUGUGGGGACGAAGAUAAAGUUGUUGGGGGAGGAAGCUGCACGCUUGGUUUGUUUAGUAAAUGGAUUAAUUAUAUUUCUAGUAAGGUGCUUUAAUACAUUAAUAUGUUGUGAUAUAGGUCUGGCCGAAUAAGGCAGAAGAUAUGAAAUAAUCAAAAUAAAAUGAGAAUGUUGAUAAGGUUGAGGAUGAUGAUGUUGAUAAGGUUGGCCUAAUAAGGAAGAAGAGAAGAAAGAAACAUAUGACAAGAAAGAAUUCGUUUACGAGACACCGCCAUAGGUCAAGAGGUCUACACAUGCAAAAUGAUCGGCACCAAAUUAAUCUCAACGCACACUGUUAUCUAACCCUCUACAUGCAGUAGCCCUUUGAUUUGAACAUAAGAAAACCUUAUUUCUAGGAGUAAUUAUUUCUAGGAGUAAGGUGGGAAAAUAAUGGUGUUUGAAUGACUCGUGAGGCAUAAUGCUCUUUCGCAAUACAUUCAUGAAGAAGUUAGGUUAUUAGAUAAAAUGCACACCUCUUUAGUUGGGUUAAUAUUAUAGAAACCCUAAAUUUUAAAUGUGUAAUUGGAAAAAGCGCUGAUAAUUUUUUUAUUAUUGUUGUGGCCAUAA